RNAcentral lists this ribosomal RNA (465 nucleotides) under uncultured bacterium. RNAcentral's name for it is "partial 16S ribosomal RNA". It matches the Rfam family "Bacterial small subunit ribosomal RNA", at positions 28 to 507 of the family's 1533-position model. The record is from RNAcentral.
GAUGAACGCUGGCGGCGUGCUUAACACAUGCAAGUCGAACGGAAAGGCCCAAGCUUGCUUGGGUACUCGAGUGGCGAACGGGUGAGUAACACGUGGGUGGUCUGCCCUGCACUUCGGGAUAAGCCUGGGAAAUUGGGUCUAAUACCGGAUAGGACCACAUUUUGGAUGGUGUGGUGGAAAGUUUUUCGGUGUGGGAUGAGCUCGCGGCCUAUCAGCUUGUUGGUGGGGUAAUGGCCUACCAAGGCGUCGACGGGUAGCCGGCCUGAGAGGGUGUACGGCCACAUUGGGACUGAGAUACGGCCCAGACUCCUACGGGAGGCAGCAGUGGGGAAUAUUGCACAAUGGGCGCAAGCCUGAUGCAGCGACGCCGCGUGGGGGAUGACGGCCUUCGGGUUGUAAACUCCUUUCGCUAGGGACGAAGCGCAAGUGACGGUACCUGGAGAAGAAGCACCGGCUAACUACGUG